RNAcentral lists this long non-coding RNA (114 nucleotides) under Capra hircus (goat). RNAcentral's name for it is "lncRNA (ENSCHIG00010016453.1)". The record is from RNAcentral. Lineage: Eukaryota; Metazoa; Chordata; Mammalia; Artiodactyla; Bovidae.
GUCUUGGUGGAAUUAAUGAAGAAAUUAAUGAUGCUCCUGGAAGACAAGGACCACAACGCUCUUGCCUGGAGAACUCAGACUAGAAAGAUGAGAUGUGAAGAGUUAUACAGCUGA